RNAcentral lists this ribosomal RNA (254 nucleotides) under uncultured bacterium. RNAcentral describes it as "partial 16S ribosomal RNA". It matches the Rfam family "Bacterial small subunit ribosomal RNA", at positions 524 to 776 of the family's 1533-position model. The record is from RNAcentral.
UACGGAGGGUGCAAGCGUUAUCCGGAUUUACUGGGUUUAAAGGGUGCGUAGGUGGGUAGGUAAGUCAGUGGUGAAAUCUUCGAGCUUAACUCGGAAACUGCCAUUGAUACUAUCUGUCUUGAAUACUUUGGAGGUAAGCGGAAUAUGUCAUGUAGCGGUGAAAUGCUUAGAUAUGAAUUAGAACACCAAUCGGCGAAGGCAGUUAACUAUUCGGUUCCUGACGUUGAGGCACGAAAGCGUGGGGAGCAAGACGG